Molecule: non-coding RNA, 121 nt
Filed under: Deltaproteobacteria bacterium
Lineage: Bacteria; Pseudomonadati; Myxococcota; Myxococcia
Description: MoCo sequence
Rfam family: Molybdenum/Tungsten riboswitch aptamer (Moco RNA motif)
Source: RNAcentral
AGGCGAUGGAUCAUCCGAGCCUUCCUCCUACGUCCGCUGAGGAUAUGGAGGGUGGCCGAUACGGUGCGGUUGGAAACGACCACGCCCCCCGUGCUUGGAAAGGAGGUCCACCAGGAGGGAU